AAGGAUCAUUAUUAAAGUCACAAGGGGGUCACUAGACAUCCCCGGGGGCGUGAUGGUCCAGUACUCUUAGGGUAAUUCCGAGAGUACCCCAUCCGUCUUAUUUUACACCCCAUGCGUACCUAAACGUUAAGCUGGCUUUGGCGGCUACACCCGUCCGGGGGACCUAAAACUCGAUAUAUCGGUGAUCUCGGAGUGAUACGGAAUAACUAAAACUUUCAACAACGGAUCUCUUGGUUCUGGCAUCGAUGAAGAACGCAGCGAAAUGCGAUAAGUAAUGUGAAUUGCAGAAUUCAGUGAAUCAUCGAAUCUUUGAACGCACAUUGCGCCCUCUGGAAAUUCCGGAGGGCAUACCUGUUCGAGCGUCAUUUAACCCCUCAAGCCAGGCUUGAUGCUGGGCGUCGUCCCUUGGGCGUGCCUCAAAUCCAUUGACGGUCCAGGUGAUUUCCAGCGCAUUAAUCGACCUUUUCGCUUGGAACAUCACUUGACACCAGUCUCUGCAACCCUAAGAUUGACCUCGGAUCAGGUAGGGAUACCCGCUGAACUUAAGCAUAUCAAU
RNAcentral lists this ribosomal RNA (556 nucleotides) under Nephroma bellum. Its description in RNAcentral is "eukaryotic LSU rRNA". The stretch from base 211 to 365 matches the Rfam family "5.8S ribosomal RNA". Lineage: Eukaryota; Fungi; Ascomycota; Lecanoromycetes; Peltigerales; Nephromataceae. The record is from RNAcentral.